Molecule: ribosomal RNA, 348 nt
Filed under: uncultured fungus
Lineage: Eukaryota; Fungi
Description: SSU rRNA
Rfam family: Eukaryotic small subunit ribosomal RNA
Source: RNAcentral
GUAGUCAUAUGCUUGUCCCAAAGAUUAAGCCAUGCAUGUCUAAGUAUAAGCAAUCUAUACGGUGAAACUGCGAAUGGCUCAUUAAAUCAGUUAUCGUUUAUUUGAUAGUACCUUACUACUUGGAUAACCGUGGUAAUUCUAGAGCUAAUACAUGCCAAAAACCCCGACUUCGGAAGGGGUGUAUUUAUUAGAUAAAAAACCAAUGCCCUUCGGGGCUCCUUGGUGAUUCAUAAUAACUUAACGAAUCGCAUGGCCUUGUGCCGGCGAUGGUUCAUUCAAAUUUCUGCCCUAUCAACUUUCGAUUGUAAGGUAGUGGCUUACAAUGGUUCCAACGGGUAACGGGGAAUG